UACGGAGAGUGCAAACGUUGUUCGGAUUCACUGGGCGUAAAGGGCACGUAGGCGGCUCGGCAAGUCGGUCGUGGAAUCUCGACGCUUACCGUCGAAACGGCGGCCGAAAAUACCGGGCUAGAGGGCGUGAGGGGUCACUGGAACUCCUGGUGAAGCGGUGAAAUGCGUAGAUAUCAGGAGGAACGCCGGAGGCGAAAGCGAGUGACUGGCGCGUUCCUGACGCUGAGGUGCGAAAGCUAGGGGAGCAAACAGG
This 253-nucleotide ribosomal RNA is filed under the name uncultured bacterium. RNAcentral describes it as "partial 16S ribosomal RNA". It matches the Rfam family "Bacterial small subunit ribosomal RNA", at positions 524 to 776 of the family's 1533-position model. The record is from RNAcentral.